RNAcentral lists this ribosomal RNA (339 nucleotides) under Triticum aestivum (bread wheat). Its description in RNAcentral is "partial small subunit ribosomal RNA". The record is from RNAcentral. Lineage: Eukaryota; Viridiplantae; Streptophyta; Magnoliopsida; Poales; Poaceae.
AUGGGGGCUGGUCUCUUUGGAUAUCUUGACAAAACCAUAGCCGAACUAGAGAAAACCCUAGUCAGUAAAACCUCUGAGGGCAAAGAUCAGGUCGUCCCCAACCCUGCUUAUGCUCCUUGGUUGAUCCAGGAUCAACAAAUCAUCGCCUACCUACUCCGCAAUCUCUCCAAGGAGGUGCUAGUUCAGGUUGCCUCCCUAGAUACAUCUCAUGCCAUCUGGACAGCCCUUGCCAAUAUGUUUUCUGCCCAGUCCCGUUCCAAAGCAAAUCAUGUUCGCAUCUCUCUCACCACCGCCCAGAAAGGAACCCAAUCUGCCGCCACAUACUUUGGUCACAUGCGA